Long non-coding RNA from Cydia fagiglandana, 1043 nucleotides. RefSeq lists it as uncharacterized. NCBI's taxonomy places the organism in Eukaryota, Metazoa, Arthropoda, Insecta, Lepidoptera, Tortricidae. The transcript has 2 exons. The record is from RefSeq and is a predicted model, not a curated record.
AUACAAUAUAGUUUCGUGCAGUUGGUUUAUUCGUUAACUUAAUAUUUGACUGUUUUUUUCAGCCGAUCAAAUGCCGUACAAAUACGGAUGCUGGUGGAUUACAUGGCGAGUAACACGAGAUUUGCAAACCGCGAAUACAAUGGGCCUCUCGGAGCGCAAAGAUAUGAAGCGCAAUGGGAGGCCCUCGCACAGGCGCUCAGGGAGCACGGGCCGGAUAAAUCUGUCCAGGCUUGGAAAGUGGUAAGUAAAUAUAAUUCCCAUAACUAGGAUCGCUCUGUGACUUGUCUGCAAAGAAGUCUUUCUAAACAUGAUAAUUAUUUAAAUUAAUUUUUGAAUGAAAUUACUAGAGAUUGAAUGGAUAGUUGUUUGGCCGGAUACCGGAUACCAAAUAUCCGGUGGAUCUCUAGAAAUUGCAGUGCAAUCUGUAUAAUAUAAAUAGUGCCAUCAUUAUCACAACUUAAUAAUGUGGAAGUAUAGUAUAAUGGCAAGUAAAAUGAACAUCUUAAUUAUAUCUAAGGCAUAUUGUUAUACAUUAUAAAAUAUAAUAAUUAUUAUUUCAAAAACAGGUAUAGGAAUAUAAUUUGGCUGCUUAAUUUUAAGGUGUCAUUUAAAAUUGCAUGUGUCAAUUAUAUUUUUUCUGUCAGACAUGGCGUGACUUGAGCCGAAAGGCUCGGUCAAAUAAUGCUGCAGCCAACGGGGCUCGGGCCCAGACUGGCAAUGCUGUGGAAAUACCAAUGGUCAGUCAGGAGGAACAGCUAAUCCUGACUGCAAUCGGAAAAGAUACCUCCGAGGGAGUGGGUCCGGCGGAGUCAAGGAUUGGAGAUUAAUCUUUUGGAGGAGACGGAGAACAUAGAAAACUUGGAGGAUACUGAAAUAAUGGAAGAGGAAGAUGAUUAAUAGUAGUUAAUUAAUGUGACUUCAUUCUUUCACACUUCUUCAUGUAAGGCGUUAUGUUUGUCUACACUCAAGUAUACAAUUGUGUUUUUAGCUACUAAUACGAAAAAAUUAUAUAUUUAUAAUUCUUAAAUAACUCAAUUCUAAUA